AAAAAAACGAAAAAUUUACUAUUUUGUUUACAGUUUUGAAAUUAACAUUUUCACUAUAAAAAGUGCGUUUAGAAGGUCAACUAAGAUAGCAACGACCAAAAGAAAUAAUUACAGUAGCACAAAAGCCAGCGGGCGCAGACCAAUUAGCUCAAAGGCAAGCGAUGAUUAAUGUGAGAAAACUGGAAAAUAGUAUGAAGAAGGUGCAGUUAAAAAACCAAAACAAUUAAAGGUAAAACAGUGGCAAAUAUUAGUAUGGGUAUCCUCAUAACAUUCCACCAACUAGCAACACCCUAAAAUUGCAAACAAACGUGUUAUUCAACUGUUAUGUGUUGUUAUGAGUUUGAAUGGGGUUAAUGAAGAUGCUGCUAGGCGAAGUUGAAGUUGCCACACUUGAAAUAUUGGGCGAGUGUUUGUUCAAAUUUAAUAGUCAUUAAUCUUGCUUCGCGCUGCUCAAAUAAUUACAUUUGUUCUCAGGCAUGCGAUUCUUGGAUUAAGCGCUGCUUGGGUUUCUCAUAGCCACCAUCUUCUUUGCAAAUAUCAAGGCCAUCAACUAGCAGCCGUCAUAAAGACAAGCUUAGACAACAACACAAUUACAAAUACAACUGAAUUAUGUUUAUACCCAACUGAUAUGACAGCUGGUGUUGAUUGCAACAGCCAAGAACUGACAAAAUGCCAUCAUCUAUUCGCUAACUGCUUGUUUGUUUUUUUGCUUGGCACUAGGUAGCAAGUCUACGAAAUGAGUGGUGCGAAGAUGUCAGCCAGCAAGCGGCAUUAUUUACUUGUUUUGGCAUGCAAUACGCAACUAAGCAGAAGAAGAAGAAUAAGAAACAGAAAUAUGCAAAUCGGGUUUUAAGUGAUGGACAAUAGAAACGUUGCCGCUGACUGAAGUGCUUGCAGGCUGAUUUGAUUGCUAUUUUAUUUUAAUUCGCCUGAUUUGCAUGCCGAAAUACUCGGUGGAGUUAUUUUAUGGCUGUAUCUGCAAAUAUUGGCUUUGGGCUUAGCAGUAAACCUCAAAUUUAGCUUUUACGAGCAGUAUAUUCUUAAUUCAAAAUUCGAAAUAAAGGAAAAUAUUGUAUAAUAUUAUAAUUGUAAAACUUACUAUAGC
Non-coding RNA from Bactrocera oleae (olive fruit fly), 1105 nucleotides. Lineage: Eukaryota; Metazoa; Arthropoda; Insecta; Diptera; Tephritidae. The record is from RefSeq and is a predicted model, not a curated record.